Molecule: ribosomal RNA, 63 nt
Filed under: Stemphylium vesicarium
Lineage: Eukaryota; Fungi; Ascomycota; Dothideomycetes; Pleosporales; Pleosporaceae
Description: partial large subunit ribosomal RNA
Source: RNAcentral
UUUGACCUCGGAUCAGGUAGGGAUACCCGCUGAACUUAAGCAUAUCAUAAAUGGGGAAAGAAA